UGCCAGCAGCCGCGGUAAUACGGAGGGGGUUAGCGUUGUUCGGAAUUACUGGGCGUAAAGCGUACGUAGGCGGAUUAUUAAGUGAGGGGUGAAAUCCCAGGGCUCAACCCUGGAACUGCCUCUAAAACUCCCAGUCUUGAGUUCGAGAGAGGUGAGUGGAAUUCCGAGUGUAGAGGUGAAAUUCGUAGAUAUUCGGAGGAACACCGGUGGCGAAGGCGGCUUUCUGGACCGAUACUGACGCUGAGACGCGAAAGCGUGGGGAGCAAACAGGAUUAGAUA
RNAcentral lists this ribosomal RNA (279 nucleotides) under uncultured bacterium. RNAcentral describes it as "partial 16S ribosomal RNA". It matches the Rfam family "Bacterial small subunit ribosomal RNA", at positions 506 to 784 of the family's 1533-position model. The record is from RNAcentral.